Molecule: ribosomal RNA, 495 nt
Filed under: uncultured archaeon
Lineage: Archaea
Description: bacterial SSU rRNA
Rfam family: Archaeal small subunit ribosomal RNA
Source: RNAcentral
AGUGCGUGCGCAAUGCGUACGCUUUUCAUACGCCUAAAAAGCAUGUGGAAUAAGAGCCGGGCAAGACCGGUGCCAGCCGCCGCGGUAACACCGGCGGCUCGAGUGGUGGCCGCUAUUAUUGGGCUUAAAGGGUCCGUAGCCGGACCAGUUAGUCCCUUGGGAAAUCUUACGGCUUAACCGUAAGGCUGCCAAUGGAUACUGCUGGUCUUGGGACCGGGAGAGGCAAGAGGUACCUCAGGGGUAGGAGUGAAAUCCUGUAAUCCUUGAGGGACCGCCAGUGGCGAAGGCGUCUUGCUAGAACGGGUCCGACGGUGAGGGACGAAAGCUAGGGGCACGAACCGGAUUAGAUACCCGGGUAGUCCUAGCCGUAAACGAUGCGAGCUAGGUGUCACGUGGAUUGCGAAUCCAUGUGGUGCCGUAGGGAAACCGUGAAGCUCGCCGCCUGGGAAGUACGGCCGCAAGGCUGAAACUUAAAGGAAUUGGCGGGGGAGCACA